GUUUAUUUCUCUCCCAGUUAAAAGAGUUCUGGCGAUGGGCAACCCAGUUCCCAGUAUGAUACAGUUGCAAAAACACUCUAGAUUAUAACAAUGAAUUUAUAGGCAGGGAUUUUUUAAUACAAUGUCCGUCAGAUUGCAGGUGGAGCCUUGUAUUCAGUUCCAGUUGUUGAUUUUGAGUCCUGCAGUCUCGGGAGAUUGGUCAGGAACUUGAAGGGGGUGUAACAUAUCUUGAGAAGUGGUUGAAAGCAACUGACGUGUGUGUGUGGGGGGUGUGAUGUAUGUCAUUAGAGUCAGUAGAGAGAUGAGAUCCAAUAAUUGUUCCCCUUUUACUCAAGUCCUGAGAUGAUUUGACAUUCUUUGUUGGGCCAGGCAAUAGAACAAUGGCCAGUAGCGGGUAGAGAGAAGCAGAACUUAAAAAGAUUUUGUGAUGAAAUAUAUGUACAAAUGAGUAUGCAAAAUAUGUAUGUACAGUUUAAAGAGUAAUUAGAAUACCUGUGAAAAUGUCCCCCUGGCUUAAAACUGGAACAUCACUAGUAUCUUAAAAGAUAUUGUGUACCUCUGCAUGAUCUUAUCUCAUUUGGUUUCACAGCUGUAUAAUAUCAUUGUCUGGUUAUGCCACAGUUUAUUCAUCCUACCAUGAAAGGAUAGAUAUAUUUUUUCCUAUCAAGGCAAUGCAUUAUUAAUGUUCUGUACAUGUCCUGGAGUGUAAGUACAAGAAUUCCUUUUACAGCAGUGGUUCUCAAAGAGUGGCAGGAGCACCACCUGGAACUUCUUAGAAAUGCAAAUUUCCAUGCCCCAGUGCCUGAAUGAGACUCUGGUGAAGAGUCCAGCAAUCUGUAUUUUACAGAUCUUCCCAGUGAUUAUAAUGUACACUAGUGUGUGAGAACUAUUGUUUCAGUGUAUGGGCACGAGUAUGGAAUUUCUGGGUUCUAGGGUAUACCCAUGUAUAGCAUUUUUUGAGAAAUACCAAACAUUUCCGAAUUGGUCGUACCAAUUUAUGUCUCUACUAUCAGUGGGUGAGUCUUUCCAAUGCUCCUCAUCCUCUUCUAUGUUCAGUGUUGUGUUACUUUUUUAGGGGUCGCAAAUCUAGGAGGUUAGAACGAUAUCUCCCUGUGUCCUUAAUUUACAUUUCUCUCACUAAUUAUUGGACUUGAGCACCUUUUUGUGUAUUUACAAGCCACUAAUAUUUUCUCAUGGUAAAAGACUAUUUGUGUCUUUCCCACUUCUGUAUUGAAUUUCAAAUUGAUUUCUGGACUUAUUUAUGUCUCCCUGUACUAGUCUUUUGUCAUUUUAUGUGCUGCAAACAUCUAAUAGUUUUUAGUUUGUCUUAUUACUCUGUUAGAUCUUUUGUUGAUCAGAGUUCUUAAUUUCAGUGUUAUCAAAUUUAUCAAUCUUUUAUGGUUAGUGCUACUUAUGCCUUAAGAAGCCCUUCUAUAUCCUGAAGUCAUAAAGACUUUUCCCCUCCAUUGUUUUAUGAAGUGUUAUCAUUUUGUUCUUUUCUUUUGUUAUGACUUUUAUUUAUGUUAUGAUAGAGAUAUAUAUUUUCAUAAUGAAUAAUUCAUUGGCCCAGCACCUUUUAUGAAAGAAUCCAUUCUUUAACCAUAGGUCUUUAUAGCCCAGUCUAUCUUAAACCAACUUUCUGUACAUAGGUAGGGUUGUUUUUGAGUCCGCUAUUCCAAUUUAUUCUAGUCUGUUUGUUCAUUUCUCUGCCAUCAUCACAUUGUCUCAUAGUUUUAUAAAAAAGUCAAUAUCUGCUCAGACAAGUUCUUUUGUGUUGUUCUUAACAGGUGGCCCAUUUACAUUUUAGAAUUUGUAAAUUUUCAUGAAAACCUUCUGGGAGUUUGUGGUUGCAUUCAAUUUAUAGAUCAGUUUAGGAGGAGUAGACAUCUUUCUAACUCUGAGUCUUCUUAUCCAUGAUUUUCUUCAUGUAUUUAGAGAUUCUUUAAUGUGUUUUAAUAUAAUUACUUUUUCCCAGUAAGUCUCAUGUAUCUUUUAUUAGAUUUAUUUCUAGAUAUUGUAUUGUUUAUGAUGCUAUUGUAAAUCGUAUAAUUUUAAAAAUUACAUUUGCUAACUGUUCUUGGGAAUAUAAGUACAGUUGUCUAUUUUAUAUAUAUUUUGUAGCUGUGACCUUUUAAGUAUUUUCAUUCUAAUACUUUGUUGAUUCUUUUGAGUUUUCUGUGUGGAAAGUGAAUUUAUUGUGUCCUUUUCGAUCCUUUUAUAUUUUCUUUGCUGUAGUCGUUAGUACCUCUGCUUGUUGAAUACAAGUGAUGAUAGCAAGUAUCCUUGUCUUAUUCUUGUACUUAAUGGAAAUAUUUUCAAUAUUUCAGUAUCAAAUAAGAUUGUUGUAUCCUCUUAUAUUCAAGUAUGAUUUGAGUUUUCAUCAUGAAAUGGAUUUAAAUUUUAUCUAAUGCUUUUUCUGCAUUAUUAGUGGUAGCAAAUGAUUUUUCUUCUUUACUUUGAUUAUGUGGUGAAUUAGAGUACUCAACCUUUAAUUAACAAACCAAACUAGCAUUAUUGGUACAAACUUACUUGAUCAGAAUAUUAUUUUAUAUAUACAUUGCUGGAUUCACUUGUAUAGUAUUUAGGAUUUUGUAUGUGUAGGUCACAAUUGAUAUUUGUUUACAAGUCUAUACUUUUUAUUUCUUAAUCUUUUCCAGUUUGGUUUUGGUAUCAAAAUUAUGCUAGCCUCAUACAAUGAGUAAAAAGUGUUCCUUUUGUGUUCAUAUAAUAUCACUUCAUCUUUUUCUUGGUAGUAUAUGCCUAUAGAGACAUCAGUACCUGGCAUUUUCUUUAUGGAAAGAUUAACUACUGAUUUAAAUUCUUUAAAGAUUAUUGGAUUGAAUUUUCCAGCUUUCUCUUGAUUCAGUUUUUAUAUUUAGUACUUGUAAAUAAUUUAUUCAUUUCAUUUAGGUUUUCAAUUAUUUGUAAUAUGUUCCUUAUUUAUUCUCUGUAUUUUGUUCCCCUUUCUGUAAUUUUGUCCUCUUUUUCUCUAUUGAUAAUUGUUUAUUUGUACCUUAUCUCUUUCCUUUCAUCAGUUUGUCUCAUAAGUUUUCAAAGAACUUGACUUUGUUUAAAACUCUUAACUUUUGUAUGUAUUUUUUUCCAUUUCAGAAAUUUAAAUUUUUAUAUACUUUUUACCUCUUCCCACCCAUUAUAAGGAGUGCCCAUUCAUGAGCUGGCAUAUAGUUUUUAUAUCUGAUAGGCAACAUGAUACUUCAUUGUUUUAAAUUUGCAUUCUUUUAUUUGUAAUGUUGAGCAUCUUUUAAUAAAAUACUUGUUAGUUA
Molecule: long non-coding RNA, 3284 nt
Organism: Pteropus alecto (black flying fox)
Lineage: Eukaryota; Metazoa; Chordata; Mammalia; Chiroptera; Pteropodidae
Exons: 2
Source: RefSeq, a predicted model, not a curated record